UCUUUUUCAGUAUUAGAGUAUUUCUGAUUUCCAAUCAGACGGAUUAUCUUAUAGUGGUAAAAAAAGAA
Molecule: transfer RNA, 68 nt
Filed under: Eoacmaea sp. AORI_YK#3426
Lineage: Eukaryota; Metazoa; Mollusca; Gastropoda; Eoacmaeidae
Description: tRNA-Gly
Source: RNAcentral